RNAcentral lists this ribosomal RNA (2422 nucleotides) under Escherichia coli. RNAcentral's name for it is "partial 23S ribosomal RNA". It matches the Rfam family "Bacterial large subunit ribosomal RNA", at positions 367 to 2776 of the family's 2925-position model. Lineage: Bacteria; Pseudomonadati; Pseudomonadota; Gammaproteobacteria; Enterobacterales; Enterobacteriaceae. The record is from RNAcentral.
ACAGCCCCGUACACAAAAAUGCACAUGCUGUGAGCUCGAUGAGUAGGGCGGGACACGUGGUAUCCUGUCUGAAUAUGGGGGGACCAUCCUCCAAGGCUAAAUACUCCUGACUGACCGAUAGUGAACCAGUACCGUGAGGGAAAGGCGAAAAGAACCCCGGCGAGGGGAGUGAAAAAGAACCUGAAACCGUGUACGUACAAGCAGUGGGAGCACGCUUCGGCGUGUGACUGCGUACCUUUUGUAUAAUGGGUCAGCGACUUAUAUUCUGUAGCAAGGUUAACCGAAUAGGGGAGCCGAAGGGAAACCGAGUCUUAACUGGGCGUUAAGUUGCAGGGUAUAGACCCGAAACCCGGUGAUCUAGCCAUGGGCAGGUUGAAGGUUGGGUAACACUAACUGGAGGACCGAACCGACUAAUGUUGAAAAAUUAGCGGAUGACUUGUGGCUGGGGGUGAAAGGCCAAUCAAACCGGGAGAUAGCUGGUUCUCCCCGAAAGCUAUUUAGGUAGCGCCUCGUGAAUUCAUCUCCGGGGGUAGAGCACUGUUUCGGCAAGGGGGUCAUCCCGACUUACCAACCCGAUGCAAACUGCGAAUACCGGAGAAUGUUAUCACGGGAGACACACGGCGGGUGCUAACGUCCGUCGUGAAGAGGGAAACAACCCAGACCGCCAGCUAAGGUCCCAAAGUCAUGGUUAAGUGGGAAACGAUGUGGGAAGGCCCAGACAGCCAGGAUGUUGGCUUAGAAGCAGCCAUCAUUUAAAGAAAGCGUAAUAGCUCACUGGUCGAGUCGGCCUGCGCGGAAGAUGUAACGGGGCUAAACCAUGCACCGAAGCUGCGGCAGCGACACUAUGUGUUGUUGGGUAGGGGAGCGUUCUGUAAGCCUGCGAAGGUGUACUGUGAGGUAUGCUGGAGGUAUCAGAAGUGCGAAUGCUGACAUAAGUAACGAUAAAGCGGGUGAAAAGCCCGCUCGCCGGAAGACCAAGGGUUCCUGUCCAACGUUAAUCGGGGCAGGGUGAGUCGACCCCUAAGGCGAGGCCGAAAGGCGUAGUCGAUGGGAAACAGGUUAAUAUUCCUGUACUUGGUGUUACUGCGAAGGGGGGACGGAGAAGGCUAUGUUGGCCGGGCGACGGUUGUCCCGGUUUAAGCGUGUAGGCUGGUUUUCCAGGCAAAUCCGGAAAAUCAAGGCUGAGGCGUGAUGACGAGGCACUACGGUGCUGAAGCAACAAAUGCCCUGCUUCCAGGAAAAGCCUCUAAGCAUCAGGUAACAUCAAAUCGUACCCCAAACCGACACAGGUGGUCAGGUAGAGAAUACCAAGGCGCUUGAGAGAACUCGGGUGAAGGAACUAGGCAAAAUGGUGCCGUAACUUCGGGAGAAGGCACGCUGAUAUGUAGGUGAAGCGACUUGCUCGUGGAGCUGAAAUCAGUCGAAGAUACCAGCUGGCUGCAACUGUUUAUUAAAAACACAGCACUGUGCAAACACGAAAGUGGACGUAUACGGUGUGACGCCUGCCCGGUGCCGGAAGGUUAAUUGAUGGGGUUAGCGGUAACGCGAAGCUCUUGAUCGAAGCCCCGGUAAACGGCGGCCGUAACUAUAACGGUCCUAAGGUAGCGAAAUUCCUUGUCGGGUAAGUUCCGACCUGCACGAAUGGCGUAAUGAUGGCCAGGCUGUCUCCACCCGAGACUCAGUGAAAUUGAACUCGCUGUGAAGAUGCAGUGUACCCGCGGCAAGACGGAAAGACCCCGUGAACCUUUACUAUAGCUUGACACUGAACAUUGAGCCUUGAUGUGUAGGAUAGGUGGGAGGCUUUGAAGUGUGGACGCCAGUCUGCAUGGAGCCGACCUUGAAAUACCACCCUUUAAUGUUUGAUGUUCUAACGUUGGCCCCUGAUCGGGGUUGCGGACAGUGUCUGGUGGGUAGUUUGACUGGGGCGGUCUCCUCCUAAAGAGUAACGGAGGAGCACGAAGGUUGGCUAAUCCUGGUCGGACAUCAGGAGGUUAGUGCAAUGGCAUAAGCCAGCUUGACUGCGAGCGUGACGGCGCGAGCAGGUGCGAAAGCAGGUCAUAGUGAUCCGGUGGUUCUGAAUGGAAGGGCCAUCGCUCAACGGAUAAAAGGUACUCCGGGGAUAACAGGCUGAUACCGCCCAAGAGUUCAUAUCGACGGCGGUGUUUGGCACCUCGAUGUCGGCUCAUCACAUCCUGGGGCUGAAGUAGGUCCCAAGGGUAUGGCUGUUCGCCAUUUAAAGUGGUACGCGAGCUGGGUUUAGAACGUCGUGAGACAGUUCGGUCCCUAUCUGCCGUGGGCGCUGGAGAACUGAGGGGGGCUGCUCCUAGUACGAGAGGACCGGAGUGGACGCAUCACUGGUGUUCGGGUUGUCAUGCCAAUGGCACUGCCCGGUAGCUAAAUGCGGAAGAGAUAAGUGCUGAAA